AUGUCUCUAAGAUUGUCUCCUGGUUUGGGAGAGUGGAUACUGUUUGGGACCACUGCAAGUCACUCCAGGCCAAAGCUGUCGGUGCCACAGGAUCCAGGGGUUGUCGUCUUCUCACCAAGGCUGCUGAGGAUAGACGCUCUGCACUGCACCCUCCACUUGCUUCUAGCAGGGCAUGAUUUUGUGCAGCCAGGUUUGGGUGGAGGACUCUGAGGAAGGCUGGCUAUUUAGAGGGAUUAGAGGUUUUCAAGAAUCUAGACUACAGAAGUAAAAGAGUAAGUGAAUUUGUUUUCUUUGCUUAUUUAAAUUGCCCACGGGGAAAAUCUUCAGCUUCAACCCACGUGAUCCAUUUUCUUGACAUCGAGGUCAGUUUUCUGAUUUCAUCAUCCCUUUAAGAUGACUGCAGAGUGAAAGGUAAGUAGAAAAAAGGUGAGCUGUUCUGUAAAUUCCUUUCUUAUGCGCAGGUACUGGCUGCAUCUCUUCUAAACUCCUUUGGUAUGUCUUCAGAACCAACUUUUAAAGUUUAAUUGGUGUAGCUGUUUGGAUUUUAAACCUGAAGCGUGUGUGUAGGGGUGGAUAAUUUAAAAACAACAGUUGCUGAGUACCAGGCUGCAGAACCCUCCAAGAUGAGAUGGAAAAGACCCCUUGUUCUGGUGCCCAUCUCUAUCAGUGGAGAAACCUUCCCCAAACCAUCACCUCAGCAGUUGUGUCCUUAAAACAUGGUGCAUUAUUUAAGGGAUCGUGUAGUCUGCAUAUGCCCUGAAAGCAGAGGAAAGGGUAAAGAGAGCAUCUAAUGACAUGUUUUUUACAGCACAAAUAUAGCCUGGUGACAAUGCCUGCUCCUUCUCCCGAAAGGGCAAAAGGAAUGGCAGGCUUGUAUUGAAGGAAUCGUGUCAGCUGCAGCCUGAAUUGCGCUGAGCAAUGUUUUUUUCAGCUCAUUUCUGUGCUUGUAUUUGAAAUAUUUGCUUUUCUGCUGGUUUUGCCUAUGGGAUUCUUUCUUUUUGUGGUACUGGAGCUUUUAUUCUUCUUGUAGUAUAAGCAAUUAGCUGUAGGAAUGUACAACCCAUCACAGCUUUAGUUUUUAAAGUAUGAAUGACGCGCAUCGUGCCAAAAGCUGUUUUUCUUCCUGCUUUCAGUAAAGAGCAUAACUCAAUAUAUGUAUCCUGAUUUCACAUUCAGCAUUGUGGUGUCCUGAUUUUAUUUUUUAAUGUGG
This 1210-nucleotide long non-coding RNA is filed under the name Anas platyrhynchos platyrhynchos (common mallard). RNAcentral describes it as "lncRNA (ENSAPLG00000018898.1)". Lineage: Eukaryota; Metazoa; Chordata; Aves; Anseriformes; Anatidae. The record is from RNAcentral.